ACCCGGUUGAAGAGUCCCAAAUAGGACGAAAUGCGGCGCAUUGUCCUGGAU
RNAcentral lists this non-coding RNA (51 nucleotides) under Trichobilharzia regenti. The record is from RNAcentral. Lineage: Eukaryota; Metazoa; Platyhelminthes; Trematoda; Strigeidida; Schistosomatidae.